UGUGGUUCAAGUGCUACCAUCAAGUACUGAAUUAGCCUUAAAUCUGCAUAAAACUACUCUUUGCUGCUUCAAUAGUGUUCUGCAGUGUACACAGAUGCCCUCUGAUUCUUCUUCUGCUUAUUGCUUGGAUGGGCCAAUCGGAGAUGCAUGUGGUGACGGUUUUUUCUUGUGAUAUCUCACAGUCCGUAGAUGAUAUUGAAGGACUUUCAAAACAAGGGUUGUUUGUUUUUUACGGUUUUGUCCAAUUAUGCCUAAAUCAACAUAUGCGGUCAUUGGAGAUUUCAGAGUUGAUCCCUUGUGCCCCUACUUCCAGUGGGUGCACGGGGUUUUUAUCAUAACCAUUUGAUUCUCCG
Molecule: long non-coding RNA, 353 nt
Filed under: Androctonus crassicauda
Lineage: Eukaryota; Metazoa; Arthropoda; Arachnida; Scorpiones; Buthidae
Source: RNAcentral